GUGAAUCAUCGAAUUUUUGAACGCAAAUUGCACUUUCUGGUGUUCCGGGAAGUAUGCCUGUUUGAGGGUCAGUUAAAUUAAAAUCGUUGUUGUGGCUACCCGUAGUGGUGUGUGAUGCAUCUGAAUUGAGUUGUUUUUUACCUUUGGUUUAAGUAACUUAAAAUUAUGUUCGGUUUUUUAACGUAUUUAUAUUUUUACUUACGUUCGUAAUAUCACAUAUGAGGUGCUGUCAUUCACAUGAUCUCGCU
This 248-nucleotide unclassified non-coding RNA is filed under the name Glomeraceae sp. RNAcentral describes it as "partial contains 5.8S ribosomal RNA and internal transcribed spacer 2". The stretch from base 1 to 71 matches the Rfam family "5.8S ribosomal RNA", at positions 84 to 154 of the family's 154-position model. The record is from RNAcentral. Lineage: Eukaryota; Fungi; Glomeromycota; Glomeromycetes; Glomerales; Glomeraceae.